Mus musculus (house mouse) is the source of this 342-nucleotide long non-coding RNA. RefSeq annotates it as predicted gene, 54036. NCBI's taxonomy places the organism in Eukaryota, Metazoa, Chordata, Mammalia, Rodentia, Muridae. The record is from RefSeq and is a predicted model, not a curated record. The transcript is spliced from 3 exons.
GCUACUCCAAAGUUAAGUAGCCUUCCUAUCUCUUGAGAUAUUUCUUCAAAGAACAUGACUGACUGCCUAACUUUACCCCUCUCUAACAGAUUGGCAAGCCACUGCAGCACCAUACGUGAUUACUAGAGAAAGAUACAUCCUGAAGAGGGAUAUUUAACAAGGCAUGGAAGGAAUGACUCAAUGAAUGCAUGCCACGCCUUUACCACACUGACAUGUCAGAGGGCACCAUAUCAGAUGACGAAAUAAGACUGAGGACACUGAAGAAAGCACGGCACUGUUUGGUGUUGGAUGUCAAUUCGGGGCUUUGCUAUUUCCAUGUCUGUAGUUCUCUGAGACUUCAGA